GAUGAAGAACGUAGCGAAAUGCGAUACGUAAUGUGAAUUGCAGAAUUCAGUGAAUCAUCGAAUCUUUGAACGCAUAUUGCGCUCUCUGGUAUUCCGGAGAGCAUGCUUGUUUGAGUAUCAGUAAACACCUCAACUUCCAUAUCUUUUUUUGAAAUGGGAGUUGGACUUGAGUGAUCCCAACGCUUUUCCUCACCGAAAAGUGGCGGGUUACUUGAAAUGCAGGUGCAGCUGGACUUUUCUCUGAGCUAUAAGCAUAUCUAAUUAGUCUGCCUAAAAAACAGAUUAUUACCUUUGCUGCAGCUAACAUAAAGGAGAUUAGUUCUUGUGCUGACUGAUGCAGGAUUCACAAAGACAGCUUCGGCCGACUUUGUAAACUCGAUCUCAAAUCAAGUAAGACUACCCGCUGAACUUAAGCAUAUCAAUAAGCGGAGGA
This 433-nucleotide unclassified non-coding RNA is filed under the name soil metagenome. RNAcentral describes it as "partial contains 5.8S ribosomal RNA, internal transcribed spacer 2, and large subunit ribosomal RNA". The stretch from base 1 to 120 matches the Rfam family "5.8S ribosomal RNA", at positions 35 to 154 of the family's 154-position model. The record is from RNAcentral.